RNAcentral lists this long non-coding RNA (1340 nucleotides) under Rattus norvegicus (Norway rat). RNAcentral describes it as "long non-coding RNA NONRATT006172". Lineage: Eukaryota; Metazoa; Chordata; Mammalia; Rodentia; Muridae. The record is from RNAcentral.
AAGCUCAGAUAAGGAGCCCUCAAAGCCCUGGGACUUCCUUUAGAUAGGCCCUUACUGGGUUUCCACCAAGAAAGCAAGGAGGCCUGCUUUUGCCCUGCCUAUCCCCCAGGUUCUAAGACAGAACUGAGGGAAUGAGGUUGGCUAUGGUGAACACGGUGUCACCUGGGAAGGCCUUCUCUCCAAAGUUCAGUACCUGGGGUCAAGCCUGCCCAUAAGGCACUAACUGAUAAGCCCAGGAAGGAGCCUAUGAUUUAUAUAGCUACAGGUAAUAGCUACCGCUGUCUGACGUCCUGAUCCAUAGGAGGUUACGGUGCAAUCUUUGGAGCCUGUGUGAGCCCUGCGAUAGCUGAGUUAGAGGUCGGCUUCUGCUGGAAACUAAGUGAGACAUUAAGAGAUGACUCCAACAGAGGCGCGGUGGAAUUCAGAGUCCCCCUGAUCUGAGUCUUGGAGGCCUCAUCCUGCUCCAUGUACAGUAAUAGAAAUUCCAUGUAUAUCCCCCCACCCACCCAACACACACACAUGUAAGGACAUGCACCCUUGCACACACACUUCCCUACAUGCCAGCUCCCAUUGCUUUCCUAACCCCGCACAGGGAGCAUGCCCCAUGUGAGAACCCCUGCUUAUCUGCUGCUUCCUGGCUUCCUCUGCCUGAAUUCUUGAGGCCCUGAAGGCAGGGGAGCCAGUCUGUGCAUACUGUUUCCUGAUCUCAGAUAAUUAGAGGAAAUGAGCUCACUGGUACAGAGGAGAUUGCGGAUUUCAGUCCGGACCUUCAGGCUUCACUCCUCGGCCUGCAGUAUACGUCUCUCCCUAACCCUCCAGGAAGCUGUGCCCCUGAAGCCCAUAGGCCCCACAGACCCCACCUGAGAUGUCUUCUUUUGCUUGCUGGAACCUGUCUCUAACCCUUCUUGUCCUGUUCUGCAGCCCAGGGUCUGGUGAAAAGGCCUUUGAAGUCUACAUACGGUCCGAGAAGCAGAUAGUAAAAGCCACAGAGGCUUGGAGAGUCAACUGCAGCACCAGCUGUGCAGCCCCAGAGAUCGGUGGUCUGGAGACCCCUACGAAUAAGUUAAUGUUGGAAGAGGACCCUCAUGGGAAAUGGAUAGAAUUCCUAGUCUCAAACGCCACUGUCGACACGGUCUUACUUUGCCAUUUCACUUGUUCGGGAAAGCAGCAGGCAGAGAGUUUCAACAUCAGGGUGUAUGAGCCUCCAGCUCAGAGAGACCCUGAAGAACCAGACAUUUGGGGGAGCUGAAACUGUCCCAGAAGAGGUCAUAGCCAUAUUCAACAGCACAGCUCUGAAAAAGGAUGGUCUUAACUUUUCCUGCCAGGCUGAGCUGGAUCUA